UGGGGAAUCUUGCGCAAUGGGCGAAAGCCUGACGCAGCCAUGCCGCGUGAAUGAUGAAGGUCUUAGGAUUGUAAAAUUCUUUCACCGGGGACGAUAAUGACGGUACCCGGAGAAGAAGCCCCGGCUAACUUCGUGCCAGCAGCCGCGGUAAUACGAAGGGGGCUAGCGUUGCUCGGAAUUACUGGGCGUAAAGGGAGCGUAGGCGGACAUUUAAGUCAGGGGUGAAAUCCCGGGGCUCAACCUCGGAAUUGCCUUUGAUACUGGGUGUCUUGAGUAUGAGAGAGGUGUGUGGAACUCCGAGUGUAGAGGUGAAAUUCGUAGAUAUUCGGAAGAACACCAGUGGCGAAGGCGACACACUGGCUCAUUACUGACGCUGAGGCUCGAAAGCGUGGGGAGCAAACAGGAUUAGAUACCCUGGUAGUCCACGCCGUAAACGAUGAUUGCUAGUUGUCGGGAUGCAUGCAUUUCGGUGACGCAGCUAACGCAUAAGCAAUCCGCCUGGGAGA
RNAcentral lists this ribosomal RNA (506 nucleotides) under uncultured bacterium. RNAcentral's name for it is "bacterial SSU rRNA". It matches the Rfam family "Bacterial small subunit ribosomal RNA", at positions 355 to 880 of the family's 1533-position model. The record is from RNAcentral.